RNAcentral lists this transfer RNA (72 nucleotides) under Camelus bactrianus (Bactrian camel). It matches the Rfam family "tRNA". From Rfam's summary of the family: Transfer RNA (tRNA) molecules are approximately 80 nucleotides in length. Their secondary structure includes four short double-helical elements and three loops (D, anti-codon, and T loops). Lineage: Eukaryota; Metazoa; Chordata; Mammalia; Artiodactyla; Camelidae. RNAcentral also lists the same sequence under 1 other name. The record is from Rfam by way of RNAcentral.
GAGGAUAUAGUUCAGUAGUAGAGUGUGCGCUUAGCAUGCACAAGGUCCUGGAUUCAAUCCCUAGUACCUCCA